CGGACGGGUGAGUAACACGUGGAUAACCUACCUAUAAGACUGGGAUAACUUCGGGAAACCGGAGCUAAUACCGGAUAACAUGUUGAACCGCAUGGUCAACAGUGAAAGACGGUCUUGCUGUCACUUACAGAUGGAUCCGCGCCGCAUUAGCUAGUUGGUAAGGUAACGGCUUACCAAGGCAACGAUGCGUAGCCGACCUGAGAGGGUGAUCGGCCACACUGGAACUGAGACACGGUCCAG
Molecule: ribosomal RNA, 240 nt
Filed under: uncultured Staphylococcus sp.
Lineage: Bacteria; Bacillati; Bacillota; Bacilli; Caryophanales; Staphylococcaceae
Description: partial 16S ribosomal RNA
Rfam family: Bacterial small subunit ribosomal RNA
Source: RNAcentral